This 127-nucleotide ribosomal RNA is filed under the name Neogale vison (American mink). Lineage: Eukaryota; Metazoa; Chordata; Mammalia; Carnivora; Mustelidae. The record is from RNAcentral.
CUCUUUUACCAGUGAGGACACCACCCUGAACGCGCCUGAUCUCGUCUGAUCUCGGAAGCUAAGCAGGGUCGGGCCUGGUUAGUGCUUGGAUGGGAGAUACCAGUGAGGACACUGAGUGUGAAAGAUG